RNAcentral lists this long non-coding RNA (403 nucleotides) under Sorghum bicolor (sorghum). RNAcentral describes it as "long non-coding RNA (SBIC_LNC016676)". The record is from RNAcentral. Lineage: Eukaryota; Viridiplantae; Streptophyta; Magnoliopsida; Poales; Poaceae.
CGUAUACUUCCCUUAAUCUCCUCAUUGGCAAUCAUGAAAAUCCACCUCAAGCUUUCAGCCUUGACGAGAUUAAAGCCGGUUGAUAGCAGCAAGGGGGCGAGAAGCCAAGGCACAUGGGGUGGCUGUCGUGUGGGGUGGCCAUUGUUGGACGGAGCCGGAGAGCGAACAGUGGACAGAGCUAAGGACAAAGGGAGGAAUGGGGUAGCGUGGAUCUUUUGGUGCCAAGGUGGGCAAAGGCAUCAGUGGUCGGUGUUGAGGGCGCGAGGCGGGUGCACGACGAGUUAAAGAAGUUGAGUAGGAGCUUGGGGUGGAGGUGCCAGGAGGAGGUAUGGCGGCAGAGAAGUGAGGAUAAGGCAGCGGGAGGGAAGGUCGGAGCCAACGAUGAUGAGCUUCUAGUCGGGAC